UAAGGAAUAUUGGUCAAUGGAGGCAACUCUGAACCAGCCAUGCCGCGUGCAGGAAGACGGCCCUCUGGGUUGUAAACUGCUUUUACUCGGGAAUAAACCUAUCUACGUGUAGAUAGCUGAAUGUACCGAAGGAAUAAGGAUCGGCUAACUCCGUGCCAGCAGCCGCGGUAAUACGGAGGAUCCAAGCGUUAUCCGGGUUUAUUGGGUUUAAAGGGUGCGUAGGCGGCCUGUUAAGUCAGGGGUGAAAGACGGUAGCUCAACUAUCGCAGUGCCCUUGAUACUGAUGGGCUUGAAUGGACUAGAGGUAGGCGGAAUGAGACAAGUAGCGGUGAAAUGCAUAGAUAUGUCUCAGAACACCGAUUGCGAAGGCAGCUUACUAUGGUCUUAUUGACGCUGAGGCACGAAAGCGUGGGGAUCGAACAGGAU
This 426-nucleotide ribosomal RNA is filed under the name Pedobacter sp. RNAcentral's name for it is "bacterial SSU rRNA". It matches the Rfam family "Bacterial small subunit ribosomal RNA", at positions 355 to 778 of the family's 1533-position model. Lineage: Bacteria; Pseudomonadati; Bacteroidota; Sphingobacteriia; Sphingobacteriales; Sphingobacteriaceae. The record is from RNAcentral.